GACUUUGAAACACCGGUUCCCGUAUGAUCACCGAAGUUAAGCAACGUUCAGCCUCGUCAGUAUCUAGAUGGGUGACCGAUUGGUAAUACCAGAUA
Acanthosepion pharaonis is the source of this 95-nucleotide non-coding RNA. The record is from the annotation of a GenBank genome assembly. NCBI's taxonomy places the organism in Eukaryota, Metazoa, Mollusca, Cephalopoda, Sepiida, Sepiidae.